UACGGAGGGGGCUAGCGUUGUUCGGAAUUACUGGGCGUAAAGCGCGCGUAGGCGGACCUGCAAGUCGGGGGUGAAAGCCCGAGGCUCAACCUCGGAACUGCCUUCGAUACUGCGGGUCUCGAGUCCGGGAGAGGUGAGUGGAAUUCCUAGUGUAGAGGUGAAAUUCGUAGAUAUUAGGAAGAACACCAGUGGCGAAGGCGGCACUCUGGGCCGGAACUGACGCUGAGGAGCGAAAGCGUGGGGAGCGAACAGG
Molecule: ribosomal RNA, 253 nt
Filed under: uncultured bacterium
Lineage: Bacteria
Description: partial 16S ribosomal RNA
Rfam family: Bacterial small subunit ribosomal RNA
Source: RNAcentral